RNAcentral lists this ribosomal RNA (392 nucleotides) under Mallomonas elongata. RNAcentral's name for it is "partial small subunit ribosomal RNA". It matches the Rfam family "Eukaryotic small subunit ribosomal RNA", at positions 30 to 432 of the family's 1831-position model. The record is from RNAcentral. Lineage: Eukaryota; Synurophyceae; Synurales; Mallomonadaceae.
GCUUGUCUCAAAGAUUAAGCCAUGCAUGUCUAAGUAUAAGCCUUUAUAUGGUGAGACUGCGAAUGGCUCAUUAAAUCAGAAACUGUUUAUUUGAUAGUGCCUACUACAUGGAUACCUGUAGUAAUUCUAGAGCUAAUACAUGCGCAAAUACCCAACUGCUUGUCGGACGGGUAGCAUUUAUUAGAUUGAAACCAAUGCAGGGCAACCUGGAAUAUGGUGAUUCAUAAUAACUCGCGGAUCGGUUUACCGAUGCAUCAUUCAAGUUUCUGCCCUAUCAGCUUUGGAUGGUAGGGUAUUGGCCUACCAUGGCUUUAACGGGUAACGGAGAAUUAGGGUUCGAUUCCGGAGAGGGAGCCUGAGAAAUGGCUACCACAUCCAAGGAAGGCAGCAGG